RNAcentral lists this ribosomal RNA (460 nucleotides) under uncultured bacterium. RNAcentral describes it as "partial 16S ribosomal RNA". It matches the Rfam family "Bacterial small subunit ribosomal RNA", at positions 338 to 795 of the family's 1533-position model. The record is from RNAcentral.
CCUACGGGAGGCAGCAGUGAGGAAUAUUGGUCAAUGGACGAGAGUCUGAACCAGCCAAGUAGCGUGAAGGAUGACUGUCCUAUGGGUUGUAAACUUCUUUUAUCUGGGAAUAAAACGUUCCACGUGUGGGAUUUUGUAUGUACCAUAUGAAUAAGGAUCGGCUAACUCCGUGCCAGCAGCCGCGGUAAUACGGAGGAUCCGAGCGUUAUCCGGAUUUAUUGGGUUUAAAGGGAGCGUAGGUGGAUUGUUAAGUCAGUUGGGAAAGUUUGGGGCUUAAACGUAAAAUUGCAGUUGACACUGGCAGUCUUGAGUAGAGUAGAGGUGUGCGGAAUUCGUGGUGUAGCGGUGAAAUGCUUAGAUAUCACGAAGAACUCCGAUUGCGAAGGCAGUUCACUGGACUGCAACUGACACUGAGGCACGAAAGUGUGGGUAUCGAACAGGAUUAGAUACCCGGGUAGUC